This 253-nucleotide ribosomal RNA is filed under the name uncultured bacterium. RNAcentral describes it as "partial 16S ribosomal RNA". It matches the Rfam family "Bacterial small subunit ribosomal RNA", at positions 524 to 776 of the family's 1533-position model. The record is from RNAcentral.
UACAGAGGGUGCAAGCGUUAAUCGGAAUUACUGGGCGUAAAGCGUGCGCAGACGGUUGCGUAAGUCAGAUGUGAAAGCCCCGGGCUCAACCUGGGAAUUGCAUUUGAGACUGCGUAGCUAGGGUGCGGAAGAGGGAAGCGGAAUUUCCGGUGUAGCGGUGAAAUGCGUAGAUAUCGGAAGGAACACCAGUGGCGAAAGCGGCUUCCUGGUCCAGCACCGACGUUCAGGCACGAAAGCGUGGGGAGCAUACAGG